UGGGUAAGUCAGACGGUCGCAUGCUUUGCAUGAGGAAAGUCCGGGCUCCAAAGGGCAAGGGUGCCGGAUAACGUCCGGCGCAGGUAACUGUAGGGAAAGUGCAACAGAAACACACCGCCGAAACGGGUAAUGCCGUGGCAAGGGUGAAAUGGUGAGGUAAGAGCUCACCGGCGUUCUGGAGACAGGACGGCCGUGUAAACCCCACCCGGAGCAAGACCAAGCAGGGAUCAUGGCUGGCGGCCCGUCAGCCCCCGGGAGGUAGGUCGCAUGAGCAUGGCAGCAAUGCUAUGCCUAGAUAGAUGAUCGUCAAAUACAGAACCCGGCUUAUAGACUUGCCCAAAAC
This 343-nucleotide RNase P RNA is filed under the name Clostridiales bacterium. RNAcentral's name for it is "RNase P RNA component class A". It matches the Rfam family "Bacterial RNase P class A". From Rfam's summary of the family: Ribonuclease P (RNase P) is a ubiquitous endoribonuclease, found in archaea, bacteria and eukarya as well as chloroplasts and mitochondria. Its best characterised activity is the generation of mature 5'-ends of tRNAs by cleaving the 5'-leader elements of precursor-tRNAs. Lineage: Bacteria; Bacillati; Bacillota; Clostridia; Eubacteriales. The record is from RNAcentral. RNAcentral also lists the same sequence under 1 other name.